RNAcentral lists this transfer RNA (72 nucleotides) under Salmo salar (Atlantic salmon). It matches the Rfam family "tRNA". Rfam says of the family: Transfer RNA (tRNA) molecules are approximately 80 nucleotides in length. Their secondary structure includes four short double-helical elements and three loops (D, anti-codon, and T loops). Further hydrogen bonds mediate the characteristic L-shaped molecular structure. tRNAs have two regions of fundamental functional importance: the anti-codon, which is responsible for specific mRNA codon recognition, and the 3' end, to which the tRNAs corresponding amino acid is attached (by aminoacyl-tRNA synthetases). tRNAs cope with the degeneracy of the genetic code in two manners: having more than one tRNA (with a specific anti-codon) for a particular amino acid; and 'wobble' base-pairing, i.e. permitting non-standard base-pairing at the 3rd anti-codon position. The record is from Rfam by way of RNAcentral. Lineage: Eukaryota; Metazoa; Chordata; Actinopteri; Salmoniformes; Salmonidae.
UCCUGUGUGGCUCAGUUGGUAGAGCAUGGUGUUUGCAACGCCAGGGUUCUGGGUUCGAUACCCAUGGGGGAA